Molecule: ribosomal RNA, 372 nt
Filed under: uncultured organism
Description: bacterial SSU rRNA
Rfam family: Bacterial small subunit ribosomal RNA
Source: RNAcentral
CGUAGGGUGCAAGCAUUAAUCGGAAUUAUUGGGCGUAAAGGGCGCGUAGGCGGAUUGAUAAGUCAGAUGUGAAAUACCAAAGCUCAACUUUGGUGCUGCAUUUGAAACUAUCUAUCUAGAGGAUUGACGGAGAAAGCGGAAUUCCACGAGUAGCGGUGAAAUGCGUAGAUACGUGGAGGAACACCGGUGGCGAAAGCGGCUUUCUAGUUUAUACCUGACGCUGAGGCGCGAGAGCAAGGGGAGCAAACAGGAUUAGAUACCCUGGUAGUCCUUGCCGUAAACGAUGUGUACUUGAUGGAGCUAGGCUCAACCCUGGCUGUGUCGGAGCUAACGCGUUAAGUACACCGCCUGAGGAGUACGCUCGCAAGGGUG